RNAcentral lists this ribosomal RNA (490 nucleotides) under uncultured bacterium. RNAcentral describes it as "partial 16S ribosomal RNA". It matches the Rfam family "Bacterial small subunit ribosomal RNA", at positions 29 to 507 of the family's 1533-position model. The record is from RNAcentral.
AGUGAACGCUGGCGGUAGGCCUAACACAUGCAAGUCGAACGGCAGCACAGGAGGGCUUGCUCUCUAGGUGGCGAGUGGCGGAGGGGUGAGGAAUACAUCGGACUCUGCUCAGUCGCUGGGGAUAACUCAGGGAAACUGAGGCUAAUACGGCAUACAUACUUCGGGGGAAGGAGGGGGAGCGCAAGACCGCUCGCGUUUCGCUGAGCCAGGGUCGGGUUAGCUAGUAGGUGGGGGAACGGCUAACCAAGGCGACGAUCCGUAGCUGGUCUGAGAGGAUGAUCAGCCACACUGGAACUGAGACACGGUCCAGACUCCUACGGGAGGCAGCAGUGGGGAAUAUUGGACAAUGGGCGCAAGCCUGAUCCAGCCAUACCGCGUGGGUGAAGAAGGUCUUCGGGUUGUAAAGCCCUUUUGUUGGGAAAGAAAUAAUUCAGGCUAAUACCCUGGGAGGAUGACGGUACCCAAAGAGUAAGCACCGGCUAACUUCGUG